This is a non-coding RNA of Triticum aestivum (bread wheat), 115 nucleotides long. NCBI's taxonomy places the organism in Eukaryota, Viridiplantae, Streptophyta, Magnoliopsida, Poales, Poaceae. The record is from Rfam.
GAUAUACUCCCUCCGUUCCGAAUUACUUGUCACAGGUAUGGAUGUAUCUAGAUGUAUUUUAGUUCUAGGCACAUCCAUUUCUGCGACGAGUAAUUUAGAUCGGAGGGAGUAGAUU